Molecule: ribosomal RNA, 217 nt
Filed under: Campeiostachys nutans
Lineage: Eukaryota; Viridiplantae; Streptophyta; Magnoliopsida; Poales; Poaceae
Description: Elymus nutans partial small subunit ribosomal RNA
Rfam family: Eukaryotic small subunit ribosomal RNA (bases 47-217)
Source: RNAcentral
GGAUUUAUCCGUUGGUCGGGCUUUUGGGUCUGUACUGGCGUGAUGGAUUUCUACCUUCUGAAUAACCGGCAUGUCGUUAAUUUGGUGCGCCGGGGAAGCAGGACUGUUACCUUGAAAAAAUUAGAGUGUUUAAAGCAGGCUCACGCUUGAAUACAUUAGCAUGGAAUAAUGAAAUAGGACGUUUGAUUCUAUUUUGUUGGUUUCUAGGAUCGACGCA